AAAGGAUUGGUAAGUUUGGAAUGAGAUGUUUGGAGCAGCCUGACAUUUGAAAGUAUUUCCUUCGGUGGUAGUUAAAUAUCUUCUUUCUUAAAGGUGGAGCAAGACUUCAUUCUCCUAUUUGAUGAUGAGACAUCCUCCAGGCUGCUUCAGAAGUGGGGUGUGUUCUUCAAACCAAACAUCAUAAAAGAGGCUAAGCGACUUACUUCAACACCAGAGUUGCGGCGCUUGUUACAGUCAGCAGAAUGUUCCAUUGGAAGUGAUGAGGCAACAUCUUACGACCAUGAAAUGGCCUCCCUGUUGUUGCUCAUACAUCUCUUUCCACCACCACCAGGAGGACCGAAGUCUCCAAAAAUCAGUGCAUGUGAUGCCAUUGAGAGACUUGUUGUCUUUCAUAAGUCAUGCUGCAGUAUGGAGGAGCAUCUCCGCAACCAGCAGGGACGGCAGCCAUACCUCCUCGCUGUUGGCCGUCAGAAGAGCAAGAUGGACAGCUUUUACAUUGCCAUGGAUAAGCAUCUCAUCCCAUGCCAGGCAAACCGCUCCCUUGGGGCAUUUGAUGAACUUUUCAAAGCACAUUUUGAUGAAUAUAAAGUUGGGCUUGUUGUUUGCAGUGCAAUGGAAGAAGACAUUCCAGUCUUUUGUCAAAUACGUGAUAUACUUUUGGUUGAAGACCACAUUUUUUUUAUGACAAUCAAGCUAUUCACAGAUAAUUUUGAUUGUCAUUAUCAUGCAUUCAGGGUAUCACAAAGUGAGCAAAGGUUUAUAAUAAAAAUGUCUGAGCUUAAAUUUCACAAACCAUUUGAUAUCCAAAGCUCAUGCAAUGUUUCAGAUGAAAGUUUGUACAUUUUACCUUCAUUCAUUAUGUUUUAGGUCAACUGUAUUAAUGACUG
Long non-coding RNA from Nerophis ophidion (straightnose pipefish), 887 nucleotides. RefSeq lists it as uncharacterized. The transcript is spliced from 3 exons. Lineage: Eukaryota; Metazoa; Chordata; Actinopteri; Syngnathiformes; Syngnathidae. The record is from RefSeq and is a predicted model, not a curated record.